Molecule: long non-coding RNA, 6052 nt
Organism: Columba livia (rock pigeon)
Lineage: Eukaryota; Metazoa; Chordata; Aves; Columbiformes; Columbidae
Exons: 2
Source: RefSeq, a predicted model, not a curated record
GAGACCAAUGAAGGUGGAACUGUCUUCACUGGGCUUUUCUUACCAACGAUGUCUAUUCCUCAUGCCCAGAAAACAGUGGUCCAUGAGAUGUCUGUCCACAGGCUGUUAGCAGGGUACAGCAGCAAUUUCUUAAAUUCUUCUAUAUCUCUUCUGAAGUGUAAGGCUGGCAUUUUCUGGGUGUAUCUCAGUGUAGGCACAUUUAUACCUUUGGUAAUUUCCCAGCUGAAUUUCUGCUUAAACUGAGUUGAUAUAGAUGGGCAUAAAACACACACACUUUAGAGCUCUCCUCAUACUCUUCUUUACCUCUAGGUGUGGUAGUCUGUCAUUGUGAAGGGAUUUCAUUACUCUUUGCAGAGGAAUUAGCCUGUGCAAGAAAAAGGUCAUAUUCUCAGUAAUGAAAAGGAUCCGUCUGUGUGCAGGCAUUGCUAGAAAGUCAUGAGACAUUGGGAAGAGUCUGAAAAUAGGAUUGGGAUGCAUGGAAAUGGAGAAGGUUUGCAGUGCAAAGAGGCAAAACUCUCCUGGUUUAGUUGUGCUAUGUUGUCUUCUUACACGCCAAAGCGAUUUCCUGCUUACCAGGUAAUUUUAAGAUACCUUUUUUUUACUGCAGCACUUAAAACUAGUUACUGAAGACUAAAUGGACUAUAUAGAAGUGAAUAUUUCUACAAACAUAAGUGAAGAAAUAAAAGACAGAUUUACUCUUCUUACACCCAGAUUAAAUCAGAAAGGUCUCUGUCUCCCUUUAUCUUGCAGAUUUGCUCUAAAUGCUUUCCUGAUGCACACCUUCUAGGAAUUCUUUUAUCUGUACAUGUCUUACAUUUCAGGUUCACAUGCAUCAAAGGGAACCUCUUCCCGGCAGAAAGCAUUAGCUUAUCAGAGCUGAUCUUUAGCAAGUCUCUCAAAGGAUCUGAAUGGGUUUAAUCUUUAUCCUCAACAUAUGUACUUCUUUUCCUCUCAUAGUUAUUCCGUAUGUUUUCAGUCAUUUAACUAAAAUGAGAGGUCUUAGUAUCUUAGACCAAGUGUCAUCUCCUACAGCAUAGUGUCUAUUCAAUAGCUCUUUGACUUAAUGAAGAUCACUUUGUCUCUGAUUCUUUGUCUCCAUCCAUGGAAUUUUAUGUUUUAUAUUUGAUUGUGCUGUAUUUUAUAGCUGUGCAUCAUGAUAUAAAAUAUGCUUAGUCUAAACAUCUAAAUGUUGCAGAGGUAUGCAGGUCACUGAGACCAGUUAGGACAGUAAUUAUGUAGUUUAGAUAGAAUCAUAGAUUUGGGAUGACUAAGCCUUACUAACUUUGUAACAGUAACUGGCAGGAAUAAGACUGGGAGAGAUUCCUAGGGAAAUAAACUCAGAGUCUUGAUGAAGGAUACUGGGAAAUCAGGAAAAAAGGGCAGAGAAAGAACUCAAAGAAGCCUUCAGGUCAAAAAGGUAGAGGAGGUGGCCUGAGGAAACCAAUUUCAAAAUCCACCCACUGUAGCCAAAAAGAAGAGGUGAAAAGGAGAAAAGCAUAGAAAGUGAAGGAGAGCAAAAUCAUAAGAUGAACACUUUGAAGGUGAAUGUCCAAAAGAAGAAAAGUCAAUGCAUAAGUGAAAGUAGGGCGUGAAGAUGAUUGUAAAUAGUGUGUCAAUUUAGAUGAUUUAUCUUUUUCAGAUUUUUCUCAUUUUUAUCUGAGUGGAAGCAGAACUUCACAAAGUAAAGAUUGAGAUUGAAGAGAUACUCCAUGUAUGUAUGUGUAUACAUAGGUGUAAAUGGAUAGUCAUGGAGAAGAGUAUUGUCCUGCCACAAUGUGUGUUUUACUGGUGACUCAUGGAUGUUGAAGUCAUAAUGGCAGGGUGAACUGCGUCAUUCUAGAUUUUGGAGGUCUGCAGUGACCUCCUCUGAGAUGGUUUUCUAAGUGUCUUUCUGUUAUUGGUGGAAAGAAAUAACCUCUUUUAAGGUGUGCUUCAUUCAAUUUCCUCCAUCCUCUCAGGAUUACAUGCAUCCUGUCACAGAUUAGUGUUAUUUCUCUCUAUUGAGUAAAAAUCUUAUUUAGACCACUAACUCAAAUAUGGACCACUACACUCCACAAGUCAUUCCUCGCAGUGAGAUAAGUCCUAUUUGAAGGAGAGACCUUCUCUCUCUCUACAACUGCCUGAAAGGAGGUUGUCGCAUGGAGGGUGUUGAUCUCUGCUCCCAAGUAACAAGUGAUAGGACAAGAGGAAAUGGCCUCAAGUUGCACCAGGGAAGGUUCAGGUUGGAUAUUAGGAAACAUUUCUUCAUGGAAAGGGUUGUCAGGCAUUGGAACAGGCUGCCCAGGGCAGUGGUGGAGUCACCAUCCCUGGAUGUGUUUAAAAGACAUGUAGAUGAGGCUCCUAGGGACAUGGUUUAGUGCUAGAGUUAAGUUGGGUUGUGGUUGGACUUAAUGAUCUUAAGGGUCUCUUCCAACCAAAAUGAUGCUAUGAUUCUAUGAAAGGUGUUCCAUCAAUACCUAUUCUGUUUUGCGAUGUAUACAAGAAUAUUGACAUUUUUCAUUAUAAUUACUCUAUGUUGACCAUGUAAAAAGGAAAUAUCAUAUUCUCCUUCCCCGAGACACUGUUUUUUACUUCCCUCCUGCCUUUCUUUUAGCAUAGGAGACACGUUAGGGAUUCCAUUUUUGCAGCUCAGCUCAUUGCAAAGGAGAACUAGUACAGAAAAAUGACUGACAAUACCUAGGAUAGUUCUAUAUGAUUCCCUUGUCAUUUAAUACCUUUCCAGGAGAUAUUAGAUAUGCCCAUUUGUCUGAAUGCAGCUGCUGCCAAAACCAGUGGUGCCAGUCCCAUAAGCUUCUGGAUGCAGGGGGACUGCUUCUUUCUCUGUGAAAACAUUUAUUAAAAAAGACACUAUGAUGGCUGAAGUUAUCUUGGGGAUCUCUAUAGCUUGAUAUGUUUGACUGAUAACCUGCUUCAGAUAUUGCCAGAAACUGGCUGAGCUUCAGAAAUACCAGGUUUCUUCUCCACAGAGUCUGAGUGGGAACUGUCUCCUGGGAACACCAUCUGAGAAGGUCUUUGGGGCCUCCAUUGCGGCUCCUACUUGACUGGGCUGCUGGAUGUCUAGGAGCUUUGAACAAAAAAUGGAGGUCAGUGACAAAAUAAACAAGGGGUCAGGGAAUAGGUUACCCCCCAAAACAGCAGGAUAGACAAGGAUGUGAACAGGACUAUAUUUUAUACCUUCUUAUUUCUGCUACAAAUCCUUACAUCCAACCCUUUGGAGACACAUGCAUCUUAGUUAGGCACAAGAUAAGUAGAAGCCAAAGCUUUUCAUUCGCUAGCGAGGAAGUUCUGUGUGUAAAUCAUGUUCCACUCCUGCUUUUUUUAAAGCAUCACUUCAGAGUUGUUACUUUUCAUGGUAGGUGAAAUGCAUUUGGCAGAUACACAGGAUUUUCCCCAGUGUCAAACAGGUUAUUUACAACUUCAGAAAGGAAUGGAAUGUUGCUUCCUCGCAAGACUCCUUGAACUCAGCAUUAUCAUUUAUCGUCAUCCAUGCUGAGUAGCCAGAACCUUCACUGUCAUAAGAAUGAACCAAGCAGCCCUAUAGCUCUCCUAUGCUAAUAUUAAUUCAUAUCAUACAGCAUUGGAUAACUACAGUAAGUUUGAAGAGUAUGUGUCAUAUUGGACUCUGCUGCAAACCUUCAGACUCACAGAUUGUUGAAAUACAUGCCUCAGUUUCCCUAACUGCAAAAUACAGACCAUGAUACCUGCCUGCCCCAGGCAGUGUUGUGGCGAUUGACUCUAAGUAAGGAACUUUUUAUCCCUGGAGACAUUUUUGGAGUUAUUUUUGCAGCUUGAAGGUUACUUUUGGAGGAACCCCUGUCUGAGGACCGUCAGUGACACCCUAUGCUGCAGGAACUGUGAGGAAGGGGUGUGGAAAAAGGUAUAUGUAAUAGUGGGGUUCUGUACUGGGAACUCAGAAUUGUAUCUCAGCCCAGGGCGAUAUAAAAAAACCAUGAACAGUGAAAAUCAUCUAAAUUCAACAUUGCUAACAUGAAACUUUUUCAUGUUCAUAGGGUCAAAAUAAAAUGCUUUGUGUAAAAAUUGUGAAAAUGUUCCUUUUUAUUUGAGAUGGUUUGUGGAGAAGCAUGGAAAGGAUUGGACUAUUUAUUUGCAGCAUUCAGUACAUCAUUCAGGGUAGGUAAGGGAAGGGGAAGCAGUUACGAAUCGUGACAAGUUUGUGUGGUUUAGUAUAAUUGGAAAUGAAACAGAAAACUGAACAAUGUGAAAAAUCAGAGAACAAAAUCUAGUAGAUAUCCAGUUCUGGUUUCAAUGAUAUAGGCAAAUUUUCACAAUUGUUUUAUUUUUUCAUUUGUAUUUUGCCUUUUUGAUUGAUCCUAGUAAAAACUGCACUUCCUUACACUUUUCAAACUAGUUGUUAGCAUUGAUAGGCAAGUUAUGGGGGUUUUGGUUCCUUGUAUCCCAUGCUUUUGUGACUAUACUGAUAACUGGGUUUGACCAUGAGCUCCCACUAAACUGUUUCCUUGGAUUUCUGCUGACUUCUCAUGGACAAGAGCAUGUUUGCCCCUAUUUGCAUCUUUGCCCUUCAGUCCUUGAGAUAUGUGAUGUACUUAGGAUCAGGAAAAGUCAAUGAGCUGCAGCGCCCCAGCUGUCCGUCCCUGCUUUGUGUAAGGGGCCACCCUGAACUUUGUUUAAGUGUAACGUCAAUGGUUUUGGAGUCACCACUUGAUAUAGGUGGGAUCAUAGAAUCAUAGAAUGAUAGAAUAGUUUGGGUGGGAAGGGAUCCUUGAAGCGCAUGUAGUCCAACCCCCUGCCGUGAGCAGGGACAUCUUCACACAGAUCAGGUUGCUCAGAGCCCCGUCCAGCCUGGCCUGGGAUGUCUCCAGGGAUGGGGCAUCCACCACCUCUCUGGGCAACCUGGGACAGGGUUUCACCACCCUCACUGUAAAAAAUGUCUUCCUCAUGUCUGAACCUCCUCUCCUUUAGUUUAAACCCAUCACCCCUUGUCCUGUCACAACAGGCCUUGCUAAAAAGUCUGUCCCCAUCUUUCUUACAGGCUCCUUUUAAGCACUGAAAGGCCACAAUAAGGUCUCCCCGGAGCCUUCUCUUCUUCUAGGCUGAACAACCCCAACUCUCUCAGGCUGUUCUCACAGGAGAGCAGUUCCAGCCUCUGAUCAUUUCUGCGGCUCCUCUGGACCCUCAUCCAUUUUAGGAUUGGUUCUUCUGCUCUGGUGUUUUUCACAGUUCAGCUUCAGACAUCAGCCUGCACCGUAGGACUGUUAUUGACCUCUCCAGUUUGCUGAUCACUUGCACCAUGGUAUUUUUCAACAUCCAGGAGAACUCAGUACUUCUGCUAUAAAGAAUCUGGACAUAAAGACCAGCCUGCAUAUUUGGGUCCCUGAAUUACUUCAUUUUGAGAAAAAAGCUGUGUACUAUUGGGUAAGGUUCUGAAACAUAAUUUAGAAGCAGCAGCAGCAGAAAAACUAUCCUGAAGUAGGGAAAGACAUGUUUCUUGAACAUUAUUCAUUUGGAUCAUGGAGCUAUAGAGAAGCAGUUACUGAUAUGAUGCUGUUCACGUGUGAGAGUACCAAAUGGACACUCUUCAAGGAGUCAGCUCCAUCUUCCCUAAGUCAUCACUAUGCUCUUACUAGGCCAUAUUUUUGAGAGAAUUGCUCAGCAUGUGUGUGAGCUUUCCUUGUCCUAAAUUCUUUUAAGCUGCAUGUUUGUUCUGGAGUGAAAAUUGGAGACACUGUAGCCCAUGAGUUGCUGUGAAAGCAUUGAAACAACAUUCCUCACUUUUAGGGGACUAGUGUGGUGGCAUGCAGGAAUCUAAUGUUCCAUGCAAUUUAUGAUUUUCCAGUUUAUUGAAGAAAUAAUUCUGUUUAUUUGCAGGCUUAUGAACUUGCAGUCUUGAAUGCACAAUACUGCAAGUCACAAAUCUUUUUAUCUCUCCAUCAUUCUGUCUUAAAUGAAGAAGUAUUAUAUAUUGUUAAGAUGCUGAUCUCCAAGAGUUUGUGAAAAAUUUUUUUUUGAGUUGUAAUGUAAUUUUAAAAUGUUGAACAUUUAUUAUUAAAAUUGUUUUUUCAAAAAGAUAAAA